This 1063-nucleotide long non-coding RNA is filed under the name Equus caballus (horse). Its description in RNAcentral is "lncRNA (ENSECAG00000041434.2)". Lineage: Eukaryota; Metazoa; Chordata; Mammalia; Perissodactyla; Equidae. The record is from RNAcentral.
UGGACCAAGUGUCAAUUGGGAAGGAUCAGGUCAGCGGGACACCGGCCAGGAUGGGAAAUAAAUCAAAGCCGGGCGUUUCAGGGAGAAGGGCCAAAUGUCUCUGCAGCAAGGCCUCUCUGGGCUCCCAGCCCGGGCGCGAGGCCUCCUCGGCGGCCGGGGAAGGAACGUGCUGCAGCUGCGGGGCCGUGAAAUCGAUGGGGGCGCCUGCGGGGAAACGGCCAGUCUCCCAGACAGCAUCCCCUGGGCCCAGUCACCAACCAGCUUGGAAUCAGUCUCUAAAUGGCACUUACCAGGUUUCUGGAACUUUCUUCGGUCCAAAGGAGGUCCAGUUCUUUGUCUGGUGUGGUCCUCACGCCCAUGUUGAACGAGAGCACAGAAGCACCAAGACGCACAUUCACUUGCUAGUUAGGUGCACUAACUAGCUCCUCAGUGCUUGUGAAACUAGACUCUGGUUUUCUGACCCCAGAGGGAAGUGGUUUUCACUCACUCAAUGCCUCCUCAAAUAGUUGCCCAUUCCUAUUGUUCCUUUGGAGCCUAGGGCCCAGCGGGGAGGAAUGGUGGGUGCUCCUGCCGGGGCAACUGCAGGUCGCUCACAUUGGGUGCUCAGACUCCCUGAGAGAGUGCCGUUGAUAUAUUGCAUAACUUAACUUUCACAACCACACUUUCAGUAGAUAUUAUUCUUCCAAUCUUGUGAGCGAACCGAAGCUUGUAGAGGAAGAAUAAGUGGUGAUCAGCUACCCACACUGGGGACCGACCUUGCAUUUAACCUGUCAGAGGCCGUUUACCAUCCUUCCCUAGUUUCCACCGAACCGCAGUGGGCUGAGCAAAUCCAUCUCCACAGCGCUGGGGAGGGAAGGCUCUGGGAGAACAGGGUGCAGCACUGUGGCGGGAGGAUGGCUACUCCUUCUUCCCUCUGCUUCCCACCUCUGACUUGCGCGGAUUCAGGGAUGCUCUCCCUGCCAACUGUGUGAAAGAUUUGCUUAUGGGAAAAAAGAGCAGCGCUGUGUCCACAGCUUCCUAAAGGGAGAUGCUGGUUUUGAAGGGAAGAGUUCUCUUGGGGAUG